UAUUGUAAAAAAAUGAUAAUGAUAACUGCAAUUAGUAAAAUAGAUGGCGUAUUUAAAGAAAAAUAUAAAAAUCAUGCAGAUAUUUAAAUUCCAGUCUCUGGUUAAAAAAAUUUGAUGUGCAAAUAUAAACAGUAGUUAAAGGCCAUAGCCCAUGUCCCCUUUAUGCCAAUCCCAUAGGCCUUAGAGCUCAGAGCCAAUGGUCCCCGCUUCCCCAUGGGCCCAAAUCGGACGCCUAUACCCAAUCACAAGCAGAACUGAUGAGAGGAUAUGAUUUGCGCUCUCCAUCGCGACCUUGUCUGAUCUUUCUCAGCCUCGCCCAGAAAAUAUUGGUUGCAGAUUAAUAUAGAAGUGAAAUGGCUGGCGGUAGGAUUGCUCAUGCCACCUUGAAAGGACCAAGCGUUGUUAAGGAGAUAGUUUUGGGGAUUGCACUUGGUCUGACUGCUGGUGGUCUUUGGAAGAUGCAUCACUGGAAUGAACAAAGGAAAGUGAGAGCAUUUUAUGAUUUAUUAGAAAAAGGUGAGAUCAGCGUGGUUGCAGAAGAAUAAAUUAUGUUUUAUGUUUGAACCAUGAUUUCUUUGAAUAGCUUCAGCAAUAUUUCUACUCUUUUGCCAAGAUUAUUUUGCUCUUAAAUUGAGCAUACUUAUUCUGAAGAAUAAAUUUAUUGUUUUGAACUGUGGAUUACACAUUUGUUUUGCAUUAAUGUGUUAAAUUUAAUGGCUUAACCUUUUUGAGGUU
Molecule: RNA transcript, 735 nt
Organism: Manihot esculenta (cassava)
Lineage: Eukaryota; Viridiplantae; Streptophyta; Magnoliopsida; Malpighiales; Euphorbiaceae
Gene name: cytochrome c oxidase subunit 5C
Exons: 2
Source: RefSeq, a predicted model, not a curated record